Molecule: ribosomal RNA, 497 nt
Filed under: uncultured bacterium
Lineage: Bacteria
Description: partial 16S ribosomal RNA
Rfam family: Bacterial small subunit ribosomal RNA
Source: RNAcentral
GAUGAACGCUGGCGGCGUGCCUAAUACAUGCAAGUCGAGCGAACAGACGAGGAGCUUGCUCCUCUGACGUUAGCGGCGGACGGGUGAGUAACACGUGGAUAACCUACCUAUAAGACUGGGAUAACUUCGGGAAACCGGAGCUAAUACCGGAUAAUAUAUUGAACCGCAUGGUUCAAUAGUGAAAGACGGUUUUGCUGUCACUUAUAGAUGGAUCCGCGCCGCAUUAGCUAGUUGGUAAGGUAACGGCUUACCAAGGCAACGAUGCGUGGCCGACCUGAGAGGGUGAUCGGCCACAUUGGAACUGAGACACGGUCCAGACUCCUACGGGAGGCAGCAGUAGGGAAUCUUCCGCAAUGGGCGAAAGCCUGACGGAGCAACGCCGCGUGAGUGAUGAAGGUCUUCGGAUCGUAAAACUCUGUUAUUAGGGAAGAACAAAUGUGUAAGUAACUAUGCACGUCUUGACGGUACCUAAUCAGAAAGCCACGGCUAACUACGUG